This 391-nucleotide long non-coding RNA is filed under the name Elaeis guineensis (African oil palm). RNAcentral describes it as "long non-coding RNA (EGUI_LNC032580)". Lineage: Eukaryota; Viridiplantae; Streptophyta; Magnoliopsida; Arecales; Arecaceae. The record is from RNAcentral.
CUACUUCUUCAUGGACUUCUUCUUCCAAUUAGACUUUCUCUAAGAAAAAGUAGACCACUCCAUAGCAAGAACCGUAUCCCUUGAACCCUUUAAGGUCUAUUCAGCAGUUAUCAAUAUAUUUAACAAUUCGAUCUUGGUGCAGUCAAUCUUAUUCAUAUGCUAGUUUACUAUAAACUACUAAUACAAAUCAGGAAAGGAUUGCAGGAUCAAAUCAACUUACAAUUUUUUAUGUAUUAUUAUAUCGAGGUUCUCAAGCUCCUCUAAGUUUUUGAUCAUUGUCAAAUAAUGAUCAUGGACAGACUGUCCUUCAUGCAUCUUUGCUUUGAAAAGUCUUUUGGAUACUUCAUGACAAUGCACUGAUCAGCUCUGCUCACCAUAUAACUCUUUGAGG